CAUGAGGAGAAGGGGGGUUCAAACAAAUUCAUGGAUGCCACGUGGACCAAUAGGAGAUUGUCAUAGAGGUGGUGACACUGCAGCACAAAAUCCUUCCAACAAAUUUGGAGCAGCACAGGAGAAUGGACCUCUCAAACAAAUGAGCCAUUAUUAACAAGUACUUAUUAGAGAUCUUAUCGGCGUCAUAGACUCGCAUAUUUUUAAGGCAACCCUUUUCUCCAACAAACUCACCCAUUAUUUUGAUGAGGGGUUACGAGGAGGCAAACAUCAUAUUCACUUUAAGACGAUGACAAGAGGAGG
Molecule: long non-coding RNA, 300 nt
Organism: Morus notabilis
Lineage: Eukaryota; Viridiplantae; Streptophyta; Magnoliopsida; Rosales; Moraceae
Exons: 3
Source: RefSeq, a predicted model, not a curated record